RNAcentral lists this ribosomal RNA (497 nucleotides) under uncultured bacterium. RNAcentral describes it as "partial 16S ribosomal RNA". It matches the Rfam family "Bacterial small subunit ribosomal RNA", at positions 28 to 507 of the family's 1533-position model. The record is from RNAcentral.
GAUGAACGCUGGCGGCGUGCCUAAUACAUGCAAGUCGAGCGAACGGACGAGAAGCUUGCUCCUCUGAUGUUAGCGGCGGACGGGUGAGUAACACGUGGAUAACCUACCUAUAAGACUGGGAUAACUUCGGGAAACCGGAGCUAAUACCGGAUGAUAUUUUGAACCGCAUGGUUCAAUAGUGAAAGACGGUUUUGCUGUCACUUAUAGAUGGAUCCGCGCUGCAUUAGCUAGUUGGUAAGGUAACGGCUUACCAAGGCAACGAUGCAUAGCCGACCUGAGAGGGUGAUCGGCCACACUGGAACUGAGACACGGUCCAGACUCCUACGGGAGGCAGCAGUAGGGAAUCUUCCGCAAUGGGCGAAAGCCUGACGGAGCAACGCCGCGUGAGUGAUGAAGGUCUUCGGAUCGUAAAACUCUGUUAUUAGGGAAGAACAUAUGUGUAAGUAACUGUGCACGUCUUGACGGUACCUAAUCAGAAAGCCACGGCUAACUACGUG